AGAUCUGAAGGAAUACCAGUGGCGAAGGCGGCCACCUGGCUCGAUAUUGACGCUGAUGUGCGAAAGCGUGGGUAGCGAACAGGAUUAGAUACCCUGGUAGUCCACGCCGUAAACGAUGUCUACUAGCUGUCUGUGCGAUCAAGUGUGGGUAGCGUAGCUAACGCGAUAAGUAGACCGCCUGGGGAGUACGGCCGCAAGGUUAAAACUCAAAUGAAUUGACGGGGGCCCGCACAAGCGGUGGAGCAUGUGGUUUAAUUCGAUGCAACGCGAAGAACCUUACCAGGACUUGACAUCCAGAGAACUCACUAGAGAUAGUUUGGUGCCUUCGGGAACUCUGAGACAGGUGCUGCAUGGCUGUCGUCAGCUCGUGUUGUGAGAUGUUGGGUUAAGUCCCGCAACGAGCGCAACCCUUGUCCUUAGUUGCCAGCCUUCAGUUGGGCACUCUAAGGAGACUGCCGGUGACAAACCGGAGGAAGGUGGGGACGACGUCAAGUCAUCAUGGCCCUUACGUUCUGGGCGACACACGUGCUACAAUGGCGAGUACAAAGAGAAGCGAAGCGGCGACGUGGAGCGGAUCUCAUAAAGCUUGUCGUAGUCCGGAUUGGAGUCUGCAACUCGACUCCAUGAAGUCGGAAUCGCUAGUAAUCGUAGAUCAGAAUGCUGCGGUGAAUACGUUCCCGGGCCUUGUACACACCGCCCA
Molecule: ribosomal RNA, 700 nt
Filed under: uncultured Gammaproteobacteria bacterium
Lineage: Bacteria; Pseudomonadati; Pseudomonadota; Gammaproteobacteria
Description: bacterial SSU rRNA
Rfam family: Bacterial small subunit ribosomal RNA
Source: RNAcentral